AUACGGAGGGUGCAAGCGUUGUUCGGAAUUAUUGGGCGUAAAGCGCGUGUAGGCGGUCUUUUAAGUCUGAUGUGAAAGCCCCGGGCUCAACCUGGGAAGUGCAUUGGAAACUGGGAGACUUGAGUACGGGAGAGGAGAGUGGAAUUCCUAGUGUAGGAGUGAAAUCCGUAGAUAUUAGGAGGAACACCGGUGGCGAAGGCGGCUACCUGGACCGAUAUUGACGCUGAGACGCGAAAGCGUGGGGAGC
RNAcentral lists this ribosomal RNA (247 nucleotides) under uncultured bacterium. RNAcentral's name for it is "partial 16S ribosomal RNA". It matches the Rfam family "Bacterial small subunit ribosomal RNA", at positions 523 to 769 of the family's 1533-position model. The record is from RNAcentral.